This 500-nucleotide ribosomal RNA is filed under the name uncultured bacterium. RNAcentral describes it as "partial 16S ribosomal RNA". It matches the Rfam family "Bacterial small subunit ribosomal RNA", at positions 29 to 523 of the family's 1533-position model. The record is from RNAcentral.
AUUGAACGCUGGCGGCAUGCCUUACACAUGCAAGUCGAGCGGCAGCGCGAGGGCAACCCUGGCGGCGAGCGGCGGACGGGUGAGUAAUACGUCGGAACGUGUCCUUUCGUGGGGGAUAACCAGUCGAAAGACUGGCUAAUACCGCAUGAGAUCUCACGAUGAACGCGGGGGACCGCAAGGCCUCGCGCGAUUGGAGCGGCCGAUGUCGGAUUAGCUAGUCGGCGGGGUAAAAGCCCACCAAGGCGACGAUCCGUAGCUGGUUUGAGAGAACGACCAGCCACACUGGGACUGAGACACGGCCCAGACUCCUACGGGAGGCAGCAGUGGGGAAUUUUGGACAAUGGGGGCAACCCUGAUCCAGCCAUGCCGCGUGUGUGAAGAAGGCCUUCGGGUUGUAAAGCACUGUCGGCCGGAACGAAAUCGCGCGGAUUAAUAACCCGCGUGGAUGACGGUACCGGAAGAAGAAGCACCGGCUAACUACGUGCCAGCAGCCGCCGUAA